RNAcentral lists this non-coding RNA (21 nucleotides) under Arabidopsis thaliana (thale cress). Lineage: Eukaryota; Viridiplantae; Streptophyta; Magnoliopsida; Brassicales; Brassicaceae. The record is from RNAcentral.
UAAAUGAAAUUUCACACCUGC